AGAUCUCAGAGCGAGUGACGUCACCGAUUGAAACGUUAUUUAGCGCGAACACCGCUAACUAGCUAGCCAUUUCACAUCCGUUACAUCAGCAUCUGUCCAGCAAAAUGACCCAGGAUCUGCCCAGCAAAAUCACCCACUAAUUGGCCUUCAGCAUGAUAUAUCAACUGGCCAGCAACAGGAAACAUAAUUCAGCCCGAAUCUGGCCAUCUGGGCUUUUAGACUUCCAGAAUUUCCAGACGUAUUAAAAGAAAAACCUGAAAGAAAAUGUGACGAUCUCCGUUGCCCUGCGGUUCUCUCGAAGUGGAGGUCUCAGAUUGGGCAGGUGUUGUUUGCCUUCAUGUGUACCUAUACUUGGAGUCAUGGCACGGCAUGAUAAAGAAUAAAUACAAGUACAGGAAAUGCAGAAGAAGUUUAGGGGGCAAGGGAAAAAAUAAACCCAGAUGACAUCAAAGAUGAAGACCUGACCAAAAUAGCCAAGAUUGAGAUUGGUGAGGAUUCCUUCAGUCAAGAGUUACAUGUUGAACAGAUGCAGGUGGACUGCCAAGAAAAGAGACCGAACAUAAGUUCCCUACAAGACAAAACGAAAAGGACUGAAAAAUAACGUUUUUAUGAAACAAGGCACCAAGGAUAUCUUAAAACAGUGCCCAGCACUCCAUUUGUCAGCCAUUGCCUGAAGGUCACUGCAGCCAUUUUGCUCCUCCCCUACCUCUUCAAAGACGAUCCAAGUGGGCUGUACGUGACAGGUGAGGGGAAUACCUUUACGGAUGAGAGCCACAUUCAACUCUUCCUGGAUGGGGAGGAGCUACUCACUGAAGAGCUGGAGGACAUCUCCAUGGGAUUGGGAGUGGCAAUGGGGGGUCCAUUUCCUUUUUAAUAUUGAGUAUGCAGCAUCAUUAAAAAGCACUACGCUGUUCAUUCAGAAAUGUGUUCUGGGAAUUGACGAGGGAGAUAAAUUACCAACAAAUGUAGGAAUGGCAAACUUUUUGCUGUAGAGAUGGAUAAGGGAGACCAGAGAUUUCUGGGACGUCUGCAAGUGAGAUUUCUGGGACUUUUAAAGUCAAUAAAAUGAAUUUGUGACUUUACAAGUUCACCACUCAAUGUUAUUUGUAUUAUUAUUCUUAAUAGUAUUAUUAUUGUUAUUGUUCAUAAUGGAAUACAUGGGACAUAAAAGUUUCCUACAGGAACCUUAACGCCCUAAAAGGUUAUUUGAGGAACCUUUUUAAAAGAUUCCUCAGGGAAAAGGUUCCUGAAAGCAAAGAGAGUUCCAAACCUCUCUGCCAAUGGGCGAAUUCGAUUAUAGACCAGACACCGGUCUGUGACCUGUACAUGUUGUCAAGAAGGCAGCAUGUUGCAUCAUCCAGAAACGCACAUCUCCUUUCUACAAAAUACAUGUUCGAUU
Molecule: long non-coding RNA, 1399 nt
Organism: Oncorhynchus kisutch (coho salmon)
Lineage: Eukaryota; Metazoa; Chordata; Actinopteri; Salmoniformes; Salmonidae
Exons: 5
Source: RefSeq, a predicted model, not a curated record